CCUACGGGUGACAGCAGUGAGGAAUAUUGGUCAAUGGUCGGGAGACUGAACCAGCCAAGCCGCGUGAGGGAGGAAGGUACAGAGUAUCGUAAACCUCUUUUGUCAGGGAACAAAGUCGGGCACGUGUCCCCGGCUGAGUGUACCUGACGAAAAAGCAUCGGCUAACUCCGUGCCAGCAGCCGCGGUAAUACGGAGGAUGCGAGCGUUAUCCGGAUUUAUUGGGUUUAAAGGGUGCGCAGGCGGUCUGUUAAGUCAGCGGUCAAAGCCCGGGGCUCAACCCCGGCCCGCCGUUGAAACUGGCAGUCUCGAGUUGGAGAGAGGUAUGCGGAAUGCGCGGUGUAGCGGUGAAAUGCAUAGAUAUCGCGCAGAACUCCGAUUGCGAAGGCAGCAUGCCGGCUCCAAACUGACGCUGAGGCACGAAAGCGUGGGUAUCGAACAGGAUUAGAUACCCGGGUAGUC
RNAcentral lists this ribosomal RNA (459 nucleotides) under uncultured bacterium. RNAcentral's name for it is "partial 16S ribosomal RNA". It matches the Rfam family "Bacterial small subunit ribosomal RNA", at positions 338 to 795 of the family's 1533-position model. The record is from RNAcentral.